This 70-nucleotide transfer RNA is filed under the name Cavia porcellus (domestic guinea pig). It matches the Rfam family "tRNA". From Rfam's summary of the family: Transfer RNA (tRNA) molecules are approximately 80 nucleotides in length. Their secondary structure includes four short double-helical elements and three loops (D, anti-codon, and T loops). Lineage: Eukaryota; Metazoa; Chordata; Mammalia; Rodentia; Caviidae. The record is from Rfam by way of RNAcentral.
UGGGAUGUAGCUCAGUGGUAGAGCACACCUAGCAUGUGUGAGGCCCUGGGUUCAAUUCUAAAUAUUCCAA